RNAcentral lists this ribosomal RNA (495 nucleotides) under uncultured bacterium. Its description in RNAcentral is "partial 16S ribosomal RNA". It matches the Rfam family "Bacterial small subunit ribosomal RNA", at positions 29 to 523 of the family's 1533-position model. The record is from RNAcentral.
AGUGAACGCUGGCGGCGUGCCUAAUACAUGCAAGUCGAACGCGAAAGUCCUUCGGGAUGAGUAAAGUGGCGCACGGGUGAGUAAUGCAUGAGAACAUGCCCUUAGAUGGGGAAUAACGUUUGGAAACGAACGCUAAUACCGCAUAAUCUCGAGAGAGUAAAGGUGGCGCCGCAAGGGCUACCGUCUAAGGAUUGGCUCAUGUCCCAUUAGCUAGUUGGCGGGGUAAUGGCCCACCAAGGCAACGAUGGGUAUGUGGUCUGAGAGGAUGAUCACACACACUGGAACUGAGACACGGUCCAGACUCCUACGGGAGGCAGCAGUAGGGAAUCUUGGACAAUGGGGGCAACCCUGAUCCAGCGAUGCCGCGUGAGUGAAGGAGGCCCUCGGGUCGUAAAGCUCUUUAGGCUGGGAAGAAGUGUGGAAGAGGAAAUGCUUUUACAUUGACGGUACCAGCAGAAUAAGCACCGGCAAACUCUGUGCCAGCAGCCGCCGUAA